AUUGAACGCUGGUGGCAGGCCUAACACAUGCAAGUCGAACGAGUGGCGGACGGGUGAGUAAUGUCUGGGAAACUGCCCGAUGGAGGGGGAUAACUACUGGAAACGGUAGCUAAUACCGCAUACCAUCGGAUGUGCCCAGAUGGGAUUAGCUAGUAGGUGGGGUAACGGCUCACCUAGGCGACGAUCCCUAGCUGGUCUGAGAGGAUGACCAGCCACACUGGAACUGAGACACGAGCCAUACUCCUACGGGAGGCAGCAGUGAGGAAUAUUGCACAAUGGGCGAAAACCGUAUGCAGCCAUGCCGCGUGUAUGAAGAAGGCCUUCGGGUUGUAAAAUACUUUCAGCGAGGAGGCGUUACUCGCAGAAGAGGCACCGGCUAACUCCGUACCAGCAGCCGCGGUAAUAC
This 406-nucleotide ribosomal RNA is filed under the name uncultured bacterium. Its description in RNAcentral is "partial 16S ribosomal RNA". It matches the Rfam family "Bacterial small subunit ribosomal RNA", at positions 30 to 526 of the family's 1533-position model. The record is from RNAcentral.